This 482-nucleotide ribosomal RNA is filed under the name uncultured bacterium. RNAcentral's name for it is "partial 16S ribosomal RNA". It matches the Rfam family "Bacterial small subunit ribosomal RNA", at positions 30 to 507 of the family's 1533-position model. The record is from RNAcentral.
AUUGAACGCUGGCGGCAUGCUUUACACAUGCAAGUCGAACGGUAACAGGCCGCCAGGUGCUGACGAGUGGCGAACGGGGGAGUAAUGCAUCGGAACGUGCCCAGUCGUGGGGGAUAACUACUCGCAAGAGUAGCUAAUACCGCAUACGAUCUAUGGAUGAAAGCGGGGGACCGUAAGGCCUCGCGCGAUUGGAGCGUCCGAUGUCAGCUUAGGUAGUUGGUGGGGUAAAGGCUCACCAAGCCAACGAUCUGUAGCUGGUCUGAGAGGACGACCAGCCACACUGGGACUGAGACACGGCCCAGACACCUACGGGAGGCAGCAGUGGGGAAUUUUGGACAAUGGGCGCAAGCCUGAUCCAGCAAUGCCGCGUGCAGGAAGAAGGCCUUCGGGUUGUAGACUGCUUUUGUACGGAACGAAACGGCUCUGGUUAAUACCCGGGGAUAAUGACGGUACCGUAAGAAUAAGCACCGGCUAACUACGUG